This 3586-nucleotide unclassified non-coding RNA is filed under the name Leishmania donovani. RNAcentral describes it as "gene:LdHU3.04.1340(CDS-product:Transcriptional_re pressor_TCF25_putative)". Lineage: Eukaryota; Euglenozoa; Kinetoplastea; Trypanosomatida; Trypanosomatidae. The record is from RNAcentral.
GAAGGGAUAUCAGCUGCGCAGUGCCGCUCUUCUCUGUGCCCUUGUGCGUGAGCGAGUGCCCGCGCAUCGGCAUUCUGGACAGCUUCCUCUCUGCCGACACAGCCCCCCCCCCCAUCCCAUUUCCACGCAUACACGCACACGGACAUCCUCAGCAGGAUCUCUAGGCCACACACGCGUCGUCUCCCCCCUGGCCGCCUCUCUGCACGUAUUGUUCUCUUCUCUCCUAAGCGUGUGCGUGCACCGAUCAUCAUGUCCUCUCGGCAGAUGCGCCGCUUGCAGGAUCUAGUCGAUCGUGCCACCGGCCUCGACGCAGACGACUUCGACGACGAUGCAGUGCCGAGGACGAUGCAGGUGAGGAAGUCGGACCACCACCGCCAACGGAAGAAGUCGAAGAAGACGGAGGCUGCCGCACCACACGUGCCAGGGACUGACAUCCUCGCUGGCCCUCCUACGCUCUCGUCGAGUACAUCAGAGCGACCCAAGAAGGGCAAGAUCGAUGCUAACGAGGCAGCACCCUCUGCUCCAGCACCGCCGCCGUCGACCAGCGUCACUACAGACGACUGGGAGGAGGUGAGCGAAGAUGAGGAUCACACCAACGGCAGUACAGCAAGGCGGAAUUCGAAGAAGACGCCGAUGGAGGACGCGGCAGCCCGUGCGGAGGAGACCGCCGCCGCCGCCGAAGACGCUAAAAAGCGGCGGAGGGCGGAGAAGAAGAAGUCGCGGCGGCAGCAGCAGCGACAGCGGCAGGCGGAGGAGGAGGCGCUGCUGGAUGCCGUAUUGGCGCGCCGCCAGAACGAGCAGGUCGACCCUGCCAGCAGCAGUGGCGUGGGCAGUCCAGUAGCGGAGCAUCACCCCGGUGGUGGGUCAGUGCUGGUCGCAGCAUCUUCAACAGGAACGGGCCCGUCAACGGGCGGUGCGGUGACAGGAGGCGGUGCUGGCGAGACUUCGUUUCUUCAACUCGUGAUGGCCUGCGACGCCCAUCAGCUCGACACGCGUCUGGAGCGGAUUCGCAUGUUUGGCGCAGAGGCAGUCGAGGACGUCGGCGACGGUCGCACGCCGCACCGCCGCGCUGACGGCCGCGUGCGGGACACCGGCAGCGUCUCCUUCUUCCCCGCACAUCACAUGACAGUGAAGUUUGUUCACAGCGCUUUCGCAACGCCCAACCGCUAUCGCUGGAUCCCGUACGACUCCCUCGGCAUUUUCCUCACCACCGAAGAGGCGCACGACGUGUGGGGCCAGGUAUGGCGCGCCUACCUCCUCGUCUGCUCCUCCCACGCCUUUCAGCGCGCACAGGCGUCGCUGGAGGCGUGCCAGGAGCGUUUGGGCGGCGUGCAAGACCUCGUCGACUGCCUUGCGCGAAACCGCGUCUACCACAUUCCGACCCUGCUGCAGUGCGUGUACGCGAUGGAGGCCACUGGCGAGAGCGCCUUUGCGAUGGAGCUGCUGGACGUGGCGCUGUACCAAGUCGGCGUCGUGCUGCGCCGUUUCGCGCUCUCCGGAACGUGGGUGUCGCGGCAGCUGCCAUGCCACCGCAGCGCCAACACGCUCAUCUUUCAAGUGCUGCAGCGCGGCGUGCAUGCGGCACUGAAGCGCGGCUGCCUGCGCACGGCCUACGAGCGCACUCGCUGCCUUCUCUCCCUCGACCCAGACGACCCGUGCGGCAUGUUGUUACUGCUCGACUACACCGCGCUGCGAGCGAAGCGUUGGGUGUGGCUGCUGGAGGUGCGCCACCGCGCCCUUGCAGUGCGUGCGGCACGCAGGCAGCCUCGCCGCGGUGCUGCCGCCGGGUCCGAGGAGGCGGAUGUGAAGGAGGCGCUGGCGGCUGCGGGGCUGACGCUGCGUGACGCCACGCUCGCCGAAGACGUGCUGUGCCUUCCAAACUAUGCGUUCAGCUGGGCACUGGCGAAGCACUUCAUUGAACGCGAGGAGGCGCGUCAGCGCUCUGACGAGGUGAGCGGCGGUGCGUGCCGGCCGUCCAAGGUGCUCCGUGGGCUCACGGAUGCGCAGCGUGCUUCCCUGGCGGCCACCCCGUCCGCGGUGGAGCUUCUCUCGGCGGCGGUGCUGCGCUUUCCACAGGCGGCGGUUCGCCUGGUGGACGCGCUCGGUGGUGUCGACGUGGUGUGUGGCACCGAAGGAGCAACGCUCUCGUCGUCAUCUCAGGCAAGUGCGUGGCAGCAGCUCAUGUGGCAGGCAGACGGCCACCCUGACAGCGCCGCGGAUGCCGCCGUGCACAACCGCCUGGCCGAUUUAUUCGUGGCCCGUCACGAGGAGCUGUGGAAGCUGAGCGAGUGUAUCUCGCUUCUGCGGCAUGUCGUGCGGCGUAUGCUCUCCGAGCCCGCGACUGGCGUCCGUGCUGCCGACAGCGGUGACAGCAGUGAGGAAAAUGCCAACGAGCUGUCGUCUGUCACCUGUGUUGGCCAGUCACGCUACCGCAACAUCACCCGCGACUCCGUCAUGGGCGCGAGUGUGGCGCCGAUUCCUGCCGAUCUGCUCGAGCCCGACGCUGCGGAGCUGGCCAUGGCACAGGAGGCCGCCGCGCUUGGUCUAGGGGCUGGUGAGGACGGCGCGCAGCCGGCCACCGUGCAGCGGGUCAUGCAAAUGCUGCGGGGCAACCUGGAGACGUUCGGUGAGAACGAGUACGUGCGCAAUCUGCUGUACGAGGUGCGCCGCGAGUUCCAAGACCGCAUCUGGGGCGGUGCCCGCGAAGGGUCUGGAGACGACGAGGCUGGCGGCGAGCAGCGUGACUGGUACGAUGUCGACGGGAGCGAAGACAAUGAGGAGCAAGAGUGGUACAGCGUCGCCAGCGGCGGGAGCGAGGACGCCGACGAUGACGCGGCUCCGGGCGAUGGUGACGAGGUCGGCGAAGCGGCGCGCCAGUGAGGGGGUGUGCGGACAGCGGCUCUGCUUCGCCCGACUAUCGUCGCUUCCUUCUUUCUCGUAGCAUCAUCACCCCCAACCAGCCAACCAGCCAGCCCCCUUCUUUUUGCGGCACUGCAGGCGGGCAACGACGCUGGCAACGUGCGUGCAAGAGGCAGUGCACUUGCGUACACGUGUGUGUGUGUGUGUGCGUACUGCGAUGCGGUAUAAUGGACAAGAAGCUUACAAAAUCCUGCAGCUGAGACUGGCCAUGACCAAGGGAACCGAAAGCGAGAGCGACGGCGUGAGCGAUGGGUGUCGCGGGUUGCUGUUGUUGAGCCCACACAUGCGUCAUCUUGUUGACUAUCCGGCGUUGGAUCCGACGUGCCCGGUAGUGUUGGGGCGGGAGGGGGGUGACCGUUGAUGCGAGAACCACGGCGAUUGCCACUCAGGUGCUUGUGCCCUCUGCUCACAGCUCCUCACCAUCGUCGCGAACUCGCUCACGCUGCGUUCAAGCUCACCUUAACGCGCCGUAAAGGUCUUGGUGAGGCUUGUCGAAGGCGCGCGCGCCAAUGAUGAUGAUGAUGAUGGUGUGUGUGUGUGUGUGUGACGGCAUCCUGCCAGGCAGCGCGUGCAGAGGGACCGCCGCUACGCGCCCUAUCCUUCCUCCCCCCAACGUGCCUCCCUUUUCCCAUACUCGACCCCCUUCUUCUGAGCCUGCGGUGACAAG